GACGAACGCUGGCGGCGUGCUUAACACAUGCAAGUCGAGCGCAGGAAGCCGUCCGAACCCUUCGGGGGGACGACGGUGGAAUGAGCGGCGGACGGGUGAGUAACACGUAAAGAACCUGCCCAUAGGUCUGGGAUAACCACGAGAAAUCGGGGCUAAUGCCGGAUGUGUCAUCGGACCGCAUGGUCCGCUGAUGAAAGGCGCUCCGGCGUCGCCCAUGGAUGGCUUUGCGGUGCAUUAGCUAGUUGGUGGGGUAACGGCCCACCAAGGCGACGAUGCAUAGCUGACCUGAGAGGGUGAUCGGCCACACUGGGACUGAGACACGGCCCAGACUCCUACGGGAGGCAGCAGUAGGGAAUCUUCCACAAUGGACGAAAGUCUGAUGGAGCAACGCCGCGUGAACGAUGAAGGCUUUCGGGUCGUAAAGUUCUGUUGUAAGGGAAGAACAAGUGCCGCAGGCAAUGGCGGCACCUUGACGGUACCUUGCGAGAAAGCCACGGCUAACUACGUGCCAGCCGCCGCCGUAA
Molecule: ribosomal RNA, 524 nt
Filed under: uncultured bacterium
Lineage: Bacteria
Description: partial 16S ribosomal RNA
Rfam family: Bacterial small subunit ribosomal RNA
Source: RNAcentral